GACAUCUGUUGGGGUGACAUCGGUGGGGGUGACAGCAGAAGUGAUGCCUGUUGAGGUGACAGCAGUGGAGGUGACAUCUGUGGGUGUGACAGCAGUGGAGGUGACAUCAGAGGAGGUAGCAGAAGUGGACGUGACAUCAGUGGGGAUGACAGCAGUGGAGGUGACCUCGGUGGCAGUGAUGGCACUUGUGGUUACAGCUGAGGAAGUGACAUCGGUGGGGGUGACAGCAGUGGACGUGAAGCCGGAAGAGGUGACAUCAGUGGAGGUAGCAGAAGUGGAGGUGACAUCUGUAGGGGUGAUGCCAGUGGAGGUGACAUCUGUGGGAGUGACAGCAGUGGAGGUGACACCAGAAGUGAUGCCUGUUGAGGUGACAUCAGUGGAGGUAGCAGAAGUGGAGGUGACAUCAGUGGAGGUAGCAGAAGUGGAGGUGACAUCAGUGGAAGUGACACCAGUAGAGGUGACAUCUGUGGGUGUGACAGCAGUGGAGGUGACGCCAGCAGAGGUGACAGUUGUGGAGGUUUCAAGUGUGGAGGUGACAUCAGUGGAGGUAGCAGUAGUGGAGGUGACAUCUGUGGGGGUGAUGCCAGUGGACGUGACAGCAGUAGAGGUAGCAGAAGAGGAGGUGACAUCUGUGGGGGUGACAGCAUUGGAGGUGGAUCCAGUGGAGGUGACACCAGAAGAGGUGACAGCAGUAGAUGUUUCAGCAGUGCUGGUGAUGCCAGUGGAGGUGACAUCUGAGGAGGUGACAUCUGUGGCAGUGAUGCCAGUGGAAGUGGCCCCAGUAGAGGUGACAGCAGUGGAGGUGACACCAGAAGUGAUGCCAGUGGAGGUGACAGCAGUGGAGGCAGCAGAAGUGGAGGUGACAUCUGUGGGGGUGACAGCAGUGGAGGUGACAUCUGUGGUAGUGGCACCAGUGGAGGUGACACCAGAAGAGGUGACAGCAGUAGAGGAUACAGCAGUGCUGGUGAUGCCAGUGGGGGGGGCAUCUGAGGAG
Molecule: long non-coding RNA, 994 nt
Filed under: Chrysolophus pictus (golden pheasant)
Lineage: Eukaryota; Metazoa; Chordata; Aves; Galliformes; Phasianidae
Description: lncRNA (ENSCPIG00010006004.1)
Source: RNAcentral